RNAcentral lists this microRNA (21 nucleotides) under Arabidopsis thaliana (thale cress). Its description in RNAcentral is "ath-miR5643a". The record is from miRBase by way of RNAcentral. Lineage: Eukaryota; Viridiplantae; Streptophyta; Magnoliopsida; Brassicales; Brassicaceae.
AGGCUUUUAAGAUCUGGUUGC